UAGGGAAUCUUCGGCAAUGGACGAAAGUCUGACCGAGCAACGCCGCGUGAGUGAAGAAGGUUUUCGGAUCGUAAAACUCUGUUGUUAGAGAAGAACAAGGACGUUAGUAACUGAACGUCCCCUGACGGUAUCUAACCAGAAAGCCACGGCUAACUACGUGCCAGCAGCCGCGGUAAUACGUAGGUGGCAAGCGUUGUCCGGAUUUAUUGGGCGUAAAGCGAGCGCAGUCGGUUUCUUAAGUCUGAUGUGAAAGCCCCCGGCUCAACCGGGGAGGGUCAUUGGAAACUGGGAGACUUGAGUGCAGAAGAGGAGAGUGGAAUUCCACGUGUAGCGGUGAAAUGCGUAGAUAUAUGGAGGAACACCGGUGGCGAAGGCGGCUCUCUGGUCUGUAACUGACGCUGAGGCUCGAAAGCGUGGGGAGCAAACAGG
Molecule: ribosomal RNA, 429 nt
Filed under: Gemmatimonadota bacterium
Lineage: Bacteria; Pseudomonadati; Gemmatimonadota
Description: Gemmatimonadetes bacterium partial 16S ribosomal RNA
Rfam family: Bacterial small subunit ribosomal RNA
Source: RNAcentral